Molecule: ribosomal RNA, 1562 nt
Filed under: metagenome
Description: bacterial LSU rRNA
Rfam family: Bacterial large subunit ribosomal RNA
Source: RNAcentral
GGCUAAUCCUCCAAGGGUCAGUCGGGGGCUAAGGCGAGGCCGGAAGGCGUAGCCGAUGCACAGCGGGCCGACAUUCCCGCACCCCCGGAAGGGCGCUCGAACCGAUGGGGCGACGCAGGAGGGUAGCUGGACGGGGUUCUGGACGUCCCCGCGAUGGCGCGUAGGGCGGCUCCCAGUGAAACGCGGGAGCCACGGGGCCUGAGGCGCCGGACGAAGCCACGAGGCGAAGCCAGUGAGCCCAUGCUGCCGAGAAAAACCCCUAGGGAGCCCGACGGGGCCCGUACCGCAAACCGACACAGGUGGGUGGGUAGAGAAUACCAAGGCGAACGGGAGAACUAUGGUCAAGGAACUCGGCAAAAUCGCCCCGUAACCUCGGGAGAAGGGGCGCCGGCCUGGGUGGGGGGACACGCUCCCCGAGCCCGGUCCGGCCGCAGCGAAAAGGUCCAAGCGACUGUUUACCAAAAACACAGGACUCUGCUGAAGUCGUAAGACGACGUAUAGGGUCUGACGCCUGCCCGGUGCCGGAAGGUCACGAGGAGCCGUCAGCGCAAGCGAAGCGGCGAAUCCAAGCCCCGGUAAACGGCGGCCGUAACGAUAACGGUCCUAAGGUAGCGAAAUUCCUUGUCGGGUAAGUUCCGACCUGCACGAAAGGCGUAACGAUUUGGACGCUGUCUCGACCAUAGGCCCGGUGAAAUUGCACUAGUCGUGAAGAUGCGACUUACCCGCGGAAGGACGGAAAGACCCCGUGAACCUUUACUGCAGCUUGGCAUUGGCUGCCGGGGCGCCGUGUAGAGGAUAGGUGGGAGACCGAGAACCCGGGACGCCAGUCCCGGGGGAGUCGCCCUUGGAAUACCACCCUCGGCGCCUUGGCAUCCUAACCUGCGGCCGUUAUCCGGCGCAGGGACCGUGCCAGGUGGGUAGUUUGACUGGGGCGGUCGCCUCCUAAAAGGUAACGGAGGCGCACGUAAGGUCUGCUCGGGACGGUCGGCAACCGUCCUUCAGAGUGCAAGAGCGCAAGCAGGCUUGACUGCGAGACGGACAGGUCGAGCAGGUGGGAAACCAGGUUCUAGUGAUCCGGCGGCUCAGAGUGGUAUGGCCGUCGCUCAACGGAUAAAAGGUACUCCGGGGAUAACAGGCUGAUCUUCCCCAAGAGUCCACAUCGACGGGAAGGUUUGGCACCUCGAUGUCGGCUCAUCGCAUCCUGGGGCUGGAGCAGGUCCCAAGGGUAUGGCUGUUCGCCAUUCAAAGCGGUACGCGAGCUGGGUUCAGAACGUCGUGAGACAGUUCGGUCCCUAUCCUCCGUGGGCGCAGGAGAACUGAUGGAGGCUGCCCCUAGUACGAGAGGACCGGGGUGGACGGACCUCCGGUGCACGGGUUGUCGACCAACGGCACCGCCCGGUAGCUGAGUCCGGUUCGGAUAACCGCUGAAAGCAUCUAAGCGGGAAGCCGGUCCAGAGAUGAGUUCUCCCUUCGGUAAGGCCCCUCGUAGACCACGAGGUUGAUAGGCCGCAGGUGGAAGCCCCGCGAGGGGUGGAGCCGAGCGGUACUAAUCGGCCGAGCUC